GAUGAAGAACGCAGCGAAAUGCGAUAAGUAAUGUGAAUUGCAGAAUUCAGUGAAUCAUCGAAUCUUUGAACGCACAUUGCGCCCCCUGGUAUUCCGGGGGGCAUGCCUGUUCGAGCGUCAUUUCACCACUCAAGCCUCGCUUGGUAUUGGGCAACGCGGUCCGCCGCGUGCCUCAAAUCGUCCGGCUGGGACUUCUGUCCCCUAAGCGUUGUGGAAACUAUUCGCUAAAGGGUGUUCGGGAGGCUACGCCGUAAAACAACCCCAUUUCUAAGGUUGACCUCGGAUCAGGUAGGGAUACCCGCUGAACUUAAGCAUAUCAAUAAGCGGAGGA
This 331-nucleotide unclassified non-coding RNA is filed under the name soil metagenome. RNAcentral describes it as "partial contains 5.8S ribosomal RNA, internal transcribed spacer 2, and large subunit ribosomal RNA". The stretch from base 1 to 120 matches the Rfam family "5.8S ribosomal RNA", at positions 35 to 154 of the family's 154-position model. The record is from RNAcentral.